RNAcentral lists this small nuclear RNA (66 nucleotides) under Cervus elaphus hippelaphus. Lineage: Eukaryota; Metazoa; Chordata; Mammalia; Artiodactyla; Cervidae. The record is from RNAcentral.
CUUUGCACAGUUGUAGUACUGCAACCAGUGAGGUUUAUUCAAGGCAUGAUUACUGCUAAUUGGGAA